RNAcentral lists this ribosomal RNA (267 nucleotides) under unidentified gamma proteobacterium groupDD. RNAcentral's name for it is "partial 16S small subunit ribosomal RNA". It matches the Rfam family "Bacterial small subunit ribosomal RNA", at positions 1106 to 1373 of the family's 1533-position model. The record is from RNAcentral. Lineage: Bacteria; Pseudomonadati; Pseudomonadota; Gammaproteobacteria.
UAUCCUUAAUUGCCAGCGCGUAUGGCGGGAACUCUAAGGAGACUGCCGGUGAUAAACCGGAGGAAGGUGGGGACGACGUCAAGUCAUCAUGGCCUUUACGGGAUGUGCUACACACGUGCUGCAAUGGCAGGCACAGAGGGCAGCAAUACCGCGAGGUGGAGCGAAUCCCAUAAAGCUUGUCGUAGUCCGGAUUGGAGUCUGCAACUCGACUCCAUGAAGUCGGAAUCGCUAGUAAUCGUAGAUUAGAAUGCUACGGUGAAUAUGUUC